CCUACGGGCUGCACCAGUGGAAUAUUGCACAAUGGGCGCAAGCCUGAUGCAGCCAUGCCGCGUGUAUGAAGAAGGCCUUAGGGUUGUAAAGUACUUUCAGUUGGGAGGAAGGCGUUGAUGCUAAUAUCAUCAGCGAUUGACGUUACCAACAGAAGAAGCACCGGCUAACUCCGUGCCAGCAGCCGCGGUAAUACGGAGGGUGCAAGCGUUAAUCGGAAUUACUGGGCGUAAAGCGCACGCAGGCGGUCCGUCAAGUCGGAUGUGAAAUCCCCGGGCUCAACCUGGGAACUGCAUUCGAAACUGGCAGGCUAGAGUCUUGUAGAGGGGGGUAGAAUUCCAGGUGUAGCGGUGAAAUGCGUAGAGAUCUGGAGGAAUACCGGUGGCGAAGGCGGCCCCCUGGACAAAGACUGACGCUCAGGUGCGAAAGCGUGGGGAGCAAACAGGAUUAGAUACCCGAGUAGUC
This 463-nucleotide ribosomal RNA is filed under the name uncultured bacterium. RNAcentral's name for it is "bacterial SSU rRNA". It matches the Rfam family "Bacterial small subunit ribosomal RNA", at positions 338 to 795 of the family's 1533-position model. The record is from RNAcentral.